GAACUUAUAUCAGUAGGACCUGCUCAAUGAUCUUUUUCAAUAGCCGCAAUAAUCUUGUGCUAAGGUAGCAUAAUCAUUUGCCUUCUAAUUAGAGGCUGGAAUGAAAGGUCUGACACAUGAGCUCCUUUAUUACUCUUAUUUCUUUAACUUUGCUUUCAAGUUAGAAGACUUGAAUUUUCAAGAAGGACGACAAGACCCUAUCGAACUUGACUUUUGUUGAACUGGGGCGGUAAAAAACCAAUUCUUUUUUCCUUUUCCAUAGCCAUCCUUUUGAUAAGAAAUUAUUAAGCUACCGUAGGGAUAACAGCAUAAUUUUUUCCUAAAGUUCUUAUAAAAGAAAAAGAUUAUGACCUCGAUGUUGAAUUAUUUCUCUUUUUGGAGCAAGAUCUAAAAAAGAAAGUCAGUUCGACUUUUAAACUUUUACGUGAUCUGAGUUCA
This 438-nucleotide ribosomal RNA is filed under the name Aptostichus sp. JEB-2003. RNAcentral's name for it is "partial 16S ribosomal RNA". It matches the Rfam family "Bacterial large subunit ribosomal RNA", at positions 1839 to 2613 of the family's 2925-position model. The record is from RNAcentral. Lineage: Eukaryota; Metazoa; Arthropoda; Arachnida; Araneae; Euctenizidae.